RNAcentral lists this ribosomal RNA (253 nucleotides) under uncultured bacterium. RNAcentral describes it as "partial 16S ribosomal RNA". It matches the Rfam family "Bacterial small subunit ribosomal RNA", at positions 524 to 776 of the family's 1533-position model. The record is from RNAcentral.
GACAGAGGUGCCGAGCGUUAGGCGGAAUCACUGGGCUUAAAGGGCGCGUAGGCGGGUGCUCAAGUCCGGGGUGAAAUCCUCCAGCUCAACUGGAGAACUGCCUCGGAUACUGGGUGCCUCGAGUGUGGUAGGGGUGUGCGGAACUAUCGGUGGAGCGGUGAAAUGCGUUGAUAUCGAUAGGAACUCCGGUGGCGAAGGCGGCUCACUGGACCGGAACUGACGCUGAGGCGCGAAAGCGUGGGGAGCAAACGGG